GAUGAAGAACGCAGCGAAAUGCGAUAAGUAAUGUGAAUUGCAGAAUUCAGUGAAUCAUCGAAUCUUUGAACGCACAUUGCGCCCUGUGGUAUUCCGCAGGGCAUGCCUGUUCGAGCGUCAUUUCAACCCUCAAGCUCUGCUUGGUGUUGGGCCCUGCCCGCUGCGGCCGGCCCUAAAGACAGUGGCGGUGCCGCCUGGCCCUCAGCGUAGUACAUCUCUCGCUCCAGUGCCCGGUGGUAGCCUGCCAGAACCCCAACUCUCGUGGUUGACCUCGGAUCAGGUAGGGAUACCCGCUGAACUUAAGCAUAUCAAUAAGCGGAGGA
Molecule: unclassified non-coding RNA, 323 nt
Filed under: soil metagenome
Description: partial contains 5.8S ribosomal RNA, internal transcribed spacer 2, and large subunit ribosomal RNA
Rfam family: 5.8S ribosomal RNA (bases 1-120)
Source: RNAcentral